UACAGAGGUCUCAAGCGUUGUUCGGAUUCAUUGGGCGUAAAGGGUGCGUAGGUGGCAGGGUAAGUCGGAUGUGAAAUCCCGGGGCUCAACCUCGGAACUGCAUUCGAUACUGCUUUGCUUGAGUACUGGAGAGGAGAUUGGAAUUUACGGUGUAGCAGUGAAAUGCGUAGAUAUCGUAAGGAGGACCAGUGGCGAAGGCGGAUCUCUGGACAGUUACUGACACUGAGGCACGAAGGCCAGGGGAGCAAACGGG
Molecule: ribosomal RNA, 253 nt
Filed under: uncultured bacterium
Lineage: Bacteria
Description: partial 16S ribosomal RNA
Rfam family: Bacterial small subunit ribosomal RNA
Source: RNAcentral